This 893-nucleotide ribosomal RNA is filed under the name Trematosphaeria hydrela. Its description in RNAcentral is "eukaryotic LSU rRNA". It matches the Rfam family "Eukaryotic large subunit ribosomal RNA", at positions 71 to 981 of the family's 3401-position model. Lineage: Eukaryota; Fungi; Ascomycota; Dothideomycetes; Pleosporales; Trematosphaeriaceae. The record is from RNAcentral.
GGGAUUGCCCUAGUAACGGCGUGUGAAGCGGCAACAGCUCAAAUUUGAAAUCUGGCUCCUUCCGGGGUCCGAGUUGUAAUUUGUAGAGGGUGCUUUGGCGUUGGCCAUGGUCUAAGUUCCUUGGAACAGGGCGUCACAGAGGGUGAGAAUCCCGUACGUGGCCGCUGGCCUUCGCCAUGUAAAGCCCCUUCGACGAGUCGAGUUGUUUGGGAAUGCAGCUCUAAAUGGGAGGUAAAUUUCUUCUAAAGCUAAAUAUUGGCCAGAGACCGAUAGCGCACAAGUAGAGUGAUCGAAAGAUGAAAAGCACUUUGGAAAGAGAGUCAAAAAGCACGUGAAAUUGUUGAAAGGGAAGCGCUUGCAGCCAGACUUGCCCGUAGUUGCUCAUCCAGGUUUCGGCCUGGUGCACUCUUCUGCGGGCAGGCCAGCAUCAGUUCAGGCGGUCGGAUAAAGGUUUCGGGAAUGUGGCUCUCUUCGGGGAGUGUUAUAGCCCGGGGCGUAAUGCGGCCAGUCUGGACUGAGGUUCGCGCAUCUGCUAGGAUGCUGGCGUAAUGGCUGUAAGCGGCCCGUCUUGAAACACGGACCAAGGAGUCUAACAUCUAUGCGAGUGUUUGGGUGUCAAGCCCGAGCGCGUAAUGAAAGUGAACGGAGGUGGGAACCCGCAAGGGCGCACCAUCGACCGAUCCUGAUGUCUUCGGAUGGAUUUGAGUAAGAGCAUAGCUGUUGGGACCCGAAAGAUGGUGAACUAUGCCUGAAUAGGGUGCAGCCAGAGGAAACUCUGGUGGAGGCUCGCAGCGGUUCUGACGUGCAAAUCGAUCGUCAAAUUUGGGCAUAGGGGCGAAAGACUAAUCGAACUAUCUAGUAGCUGGUUCCUGCCGAAGUUUCCUUCAGGAUAG